CCACAGAAUAAAACGCUUACCAUUUAUAGAAAUUAAUUUCAUUUAAACAUCAAAUCGUGUCAUAAUUCCAUGAUUAGAGCAUACAAAAGCUCUUAGGUUGACCCAAGAACAAAUAAGGACUAAACUGGAAACUAUAUAAAUAAAAAUGGAAAUUUUGCAAAAUAAAGAUCACACAAACAUGUAAGUCACUAUGGCCGUGUGAACCAAAAUCGAUUAAUUCUUCCAAUAGUCACACAGUUGUGUCACCAACCCGUAUGUCACACACACGGCUAUGUGGUCAAACCAUGUGGUUCCGAAAUCUCCUACAUUCCAAUCAUUACACAUCAUUACACAAUUGUGUCACCAGCUCGUGUGGUACAAAAAUGUACCACUUUGAUCCUUAUUCAAGUCAAAUAUUCCAAAACCUCAAAACAUACAUUUUUGUAAACUAAAAACCUGCACAAAGCAUCUCAAAACCAAGCCAAAACAUGUUAUAUAUAAUUCUCUUAAACAUCUAACCAAUAUGCCACAUUGACACUGUAACAGGCCAAUUUGCCCGGCCCCUUUGAAACCCAAAAUAAAUAAACAAAAACCCAAAUAAAAUUAUAACAGUCCAUCAUAUGUCCUUUUACAGACUUUGACCCAAACUAAUACCCCAAACCGAACCCUAUACAAGCCCAAAUCAAUACCCAAUCCCCAAAUAAAACCCACGGUCCAAAGACAAUGGUCCAACACCCAAAAAUGAGCCCAAACGGCCCCAAAUACUGAAACCAAGACAGAAACCCUAGCAGUUCCUGCUUGCACCGCAGCAGCCCCGGCCUCCGUACCGCCUCCGUACCCUCAGCAGCGCCAUGCUCUCGUACACACGCCAACACCACCCCGUACCUGCAAAUACAGAAAAACGACAGCAGCAAAUACAAACAAAAAUUGUAUUUCUUUCUUUUUAUUUCCUUUUAAUUCUUUUUUCUUUUUUUCGGCUACAAAGCCAGGAUCUUUAAUCCUUGUAAUGGGUUACAAAAAAGGAACGCACAAAAAUAGUAGCAAUACAAAGCAAUCAAAAGCAGAGGAGGUGAUUUCCGCUAUCCACUUUCCUAUGGUCUUUUCUUUCCUUUUACUAGUAUUUGCUCACAUCUUUCAUCGAUAUAUUUCAAAAAAAAAUAAACAAAAGAGAAGGAAAAGCGAAAGAAAUCUUUCUUUCUAUCAGUAUUUACCUUGCGAAUCCGUCUUCGAUCCUCUGUCGUUUCGUCGAAAUCGAAGCUAGGGGGUUUUGAGGUCGAAGAACAAUACGCCAAAACCCGAAACACAAAACGUCGUUCUCGAUGGCGAUUUGGUGUUUGAGGAGGCACUUUAGGGUUUGGCUAAAGGAAAGGGAUAGCAAAGAGUGGGAGAAGGUGGCUAGGGUUCAGCCGAACAGGCUUAAGUGAGCCUUUAUAGCGAAUCAAAAACGGCGCCGUUUGAGCAUGCUUCAAUGGCUCUGAAACGGUGCCGUGUACCAAGGUCCGACCCGAUCCGGCUCCUAACCCUCAGGAUCCGCGCGUUUGCUGCGGUAAAGGGAAAGUUUCACAUUUAGUCCCUUCCUUUCGCGUUGGUGCUCAAUUAGGUCUAGUCCAG
Molecule: long non-coding RNA, 1590 nt
Filed under: Gossypium barbadense (sea-island cotton)
Lineage: Eukaryota; Viridiplantae; Streptophyta; Magnoliopsida; Malvales; Malvaceae
Description: long non-coding RNA (GBAR_LNC008354)
Source: RNAcentral